GGAUUCGUGUUGCAAUGGUAGCACGUCUGACUCAGGAUCAGAAGGUUGUGUGUUCGAUUCACGUCGGUUUCA
Non-coding RNA from Cucurbita pepo subsp. pepo (vegetable marrow), 72 nucleotides. The record is from the annotation of a RefSeq genome assembly. Lineage: Eukaryota; Viridiplantae; Streptophyta; Magnoliopsida; Cucurbitales; Cucurbitaceae.